RNAcentral lists this ribosomal RNA (500 nucleotides) under uncultured bacterium. RNAcentral describes it as "bacterial SSU rRNA". It matches the Rfam family "Bacterial small subunit ribosomal RNA", at positions 791 to 1310 of the family's 1533-position model. The record is from RNAcentral.
UAGUCCACGCCGUAAACGAUGGUAACUAAGUGUUGCACGUUGGUGCAGUGCUGUAGCUAACGCGUUAAGUUACCCACCUGAGGAGUACGGUCGCAAGAUUAAAACUCAAAGGAAUAGACGGGGACCCACACAAGCAGUGGAUCAUGUGGUUUAAUUCGACAAUAAACGGGGAAUCUUACCCAGGCUUGACAUCCUAGGAAUCUUUCAGAGAUGAGAGAGUGCUUUUAUUAGAACCUAGUGACAGGUGCUGCAUGGUUGUCGUCAGCUCGUGCCUUGAGGUGUUCGGUUAAGUCCGUUAACGAGCGCAACCCAUGUCUUUAGUUAUUAUGUCUAAAGAGACUGCCUUGGUUAACAAGGAGGAAGGUGUGGAUGACGUCAAAUCAGCACGGCUUUUACGCCUGGGGCUACACACAUGAUACAAUGGUACGUACAAAGAGCAGCAAUAUCGCGAGAUGGAGCUAAUCUAUAAAGCGUAUCUCAGUCCGGAUUGGAGUCUGAAA